Long non-coding RNA from Mus pahari (shrew mouse), 1052 nucleotides. RefSeq lists it as uncharacterized. Lineage: Eukaryota; Metazoa; Chordata; Mammalia; Rodentia; Muridae. The transcript has 3 exons. The record is from RefSeq and is a predicted model, not a curated record.
AGGGGGAAUGGAGCAUCUAGCAGGGUGAUGCUCUGCUUCUCUUUUGCCACAGUGCUCCCCCAACCCGGACAGUCUGGGAGCGUUCUUUGCAAGCUUGGGAACCAGCCCUCAGCAAGCCAUUCUGCCCAUGGAGCCUCCACCCUGACUGAGACAGAACAUUUCAAGAACAUUGGAUGAUCAGAAAGUUAUCUAAGCCAAACUCUCUAAGUUUAUGUAGGUUUAUGGUUCCAGAGGGAUAGCACCCAUAGUGAUGGAGGGGCACGGCACUGAGCAGAAAGUAUGGCAAAAGGAGCAGGAAGGUGAAAGCUCAUGUCUCAGAAUUCGAGCAUGAAGGAGAGCAACUGGAAGUGGUAAGAAUAUGCAGGACGGCUGGAGAGAAGGCUCCUCCGCAGUUAUGGAUAAUGAAGUAUGUGCCAGCAGAGUGAAAGGGGGCUGUGAGACCAGAAGAAACUGAGGCCACGCUCACUCCUCCUGGUACUCUUGGCAUCCUCCAGCUCUCUCUGAAGGUCAACCUCUGGUGGAGAACACAGCGAUCCAUCAAACAAGCAGCUACAGUUCUGCCAGCACUCGCCCAAAAUAAUUUGCCACUUGCAGGAGCUCCCCCUCAGGGAGCUAAUUCUUACAUGACUCUCAGUGUCCUCUGUUUCAUCUUGAUCAAAGCUGUCAUCCAUCUGUCAGUGGACAGCGUUCGGGUGGCCCUCCUUGUGUGCUCUGAAGCCUGGCCACACCGUCAAAUUCUGUCUAGGUUUCGAGGAUGUGAAACUUAUUGGCAAUCUUUCCCCCAACAUAUCGUCCAAAUCACUCACAGGGGAGUUUCAGUGCUUUGGCGAGAAGGCCUGGUCUUAGCAGAAACACAGAGAAGCUUCCUCCAGACUCUGUCAAGUUCUUUAGUCUCUGUACAGCUUCCUCUACAUCUUAUCAUAGAUGGACAACAACUGUGUCCUUCAUCACGUAAAGGGGAGGGAUAGAUGAACUAUCCAAUAAACAUUUGGUAAGCGGGACCACUGUGGGUGAACUUCUUCCCCAUCCCCCUCCCUUUUCAUCCCUCUUUG